AUUGAACGCUGGCGGCAUGCUUUACACAUGCAAGUCGAACGGUAACAGGUUAAGCUGACGAGUGGCGAACGGGUGAGUAAUGCAUCGGAACGUGCCCGGUCGUGGGGGAUAACGCAGCGAAAGCUGCGCUAAUACCGCAUACGAUCUAAGGAUGAAAGCGGGGGACCGUAAGGCCUCGCGCGAUCGGAGCGGCCGAUGUCAGAUUAGGUAGUUGGUGGGGUAAAGGCUCACCAAGCCAACGAUCUGUAGCUGGUCUGAGAGGACGACCAGCCACACUGGGACUGAGACACGGCCAAGACUCCUACGGGAGGCAGCAGUGGGGAAUUUUGGACAAUGGGCGAAAGCCUGAUCCAGCAAUGCCGCGUGCAGGAAGAAGGCCUUCGGGUUGUAAACUGCUUUUGUACGGAGCGAGAAGGUCUCCUCUAAUACAGGGGGCUCAUGACGGUACCGUAAGAAUAAGCACCGGCUAACUACGUGCCAGCAGCCGCAGUAA
This 493-nucleotide ribosomal RNA is filed under the name uncultured bacterium. Its description in RNAcentral is "partial 16S ribosomal RNA". It matches the Rfam family "Bacterial small subunit ribosomal RNA", at positions 29 to 523 of the family's 1533-position model. The record is from RNAcentral.